This 279-nucleotide ribosomal RNA is filed under the name uncultured bacterium. RNAcentral's name for it is "partial 16S ribosomal RNA". It matches the Rfam family "Bacterial small subunit ribosomal RNA", at positions 506 to 784 of the family's 1533-position model. The record is from RNAcentral.
UGCCAGCAGCCGCGGUAAUACGGAGGGGGUUAGCGUUGUUCGGAAUUACUGGGCUUAAAGAGUGCGUAGGCGGCCUGGCAGGUGGGGUGUGAAAUCCCUCAGCUCAACUGAGGAACUGCGCUCCAAACCGCCAGACUUGAGGGAGAUAGAGGUGAGCGGAACUGAUGGUGGAGCGGUGAAAUGCGUUGAUAUCAUCAGGAACACCAGAGGCGAAGGCGGCUCACUGGGUCUUUUCUGACGCUGAGGCACGAAAGCUAGGGUAGCGAACAGGAUUAGAUA